Carica papaya (papaya) is the source of this 795-nucleotide long non-coding RNA. RefSeq lists it as uncharacterized. NCBI's taxonomy places the organism in Eukaryota, Viridiplantae, Streptophyta, Magnoliopsida, Brassicales, Caricaceae. The record is from RefSeq and is a predicted model, not a curated record.
AGAAACUCCAAAACGGCGCCGUUUUAAGUAAAGAAAAAAAAAACCUGAGGCGUGUUUGCCUCUGGUCGGGAAAGAUGAAUAGGCAGAGGCGUGUAUGCCUCUGCCACCGAUCGAAAAAGAAGAAGAUGAGACUUGCACACCGAGAAAGAAGGAUCGUGUAGGACUCCUUUUGCUCCUCCCUAUAAAAUGCGAAGAGAGGAAAGGAGAUCAGUGUAGGAAGAGAGAGAGAGAGAGAGAGAGAGAGAGAGAGAGAGGAAGAUAGAAAGAGAGGGGAUGCGGUUACCAUCAAUCGGCAGCCGAGAGAGGAAAGAAAAAAGAAAAAGAAAAAUGAGGGGGAGAACCCGGUGCUGCGCAGGAGAAGAAGAUGAUUUACACGGCAGCUCGACGUGCGUUUUGCUGUUCUGUGACUCCCUCCGAUGCAAUUCCACCUUAUCUAAGGCUGCAAAGUGCUCUGCGGUGAAUUUCGGCCAAUCCGUAGCGGUGAGUGGUGGCGAUCGGCGACGACAUAUGGUGGUCCAGUGGCGGCACGUGUGGAGGCGCGCGGACUUCUAGUGGUUGCGCACAGUGAGUCCUAGGAACCCGAUUCAGGUAGAUAUCACUGUAACAUGUUGAUCUUGUACAUCGGAGAUAAUUUCACGAACGAGAUUUAGACGAAAAUCAGGUAAGUGCGUAAGCACUUAUAAAUGUAAUUUAAUUUUUUUAAGAUAUUAAAAUUAUGACGCUUAAUAAUUGAUAAUUAGACGCAUGAUUCCAAUAAAAUUUUACUAUUAAUUAUUAUGUUCUUAUUUAUGUUUA